RNAcentral lists this long non-coding RNA (756 nucleotides) under Cyanistes caeruleus (blue tit). Its description in RNAcentral is "lncRNA (ENSCCEG00000008368.1)". The record is from RNAcentral. Lineage: Eukaryota; Metazoa; Chordata; Aves; Passeriformes; Paridae.
CAUCUUUCAUUAGCUGGAGAAAAGUGGGAAAUCAGGGUUAACAGCACACUGGGACAGCACAAAGGGGGACAGCCCAUUCGAUGGAGUGGAGAUACUCAUCCAAACCUGACAGCUGCUUGAAAGGCACUGUUCAGUAAAGACAGCUGGGUGGAGAAUGCAAAAUCAAGCAGGAAAGGGCUGGAGCUUGGGAGGGGAGAAGUGGAAAAUGCUUUAACUAAUCCCAGCUUCACCACUGGCUGUCUGUGGGAUAUUGGUCUUUGCCCUCAGAUCAAGCCCCGGGAGAAGGGGGAGCCUGGAAGGAGGCCUCAGAUGUCUGCACAACUUGUAUAUGCUGUGAAAGGAACCCUGAUGAAAGGUUAGGGCAGUGGGAUGGACGAUACCCAGUGAAAGGCAUGCGCAGCACGUCUGAUUGCUUUUUGCUGUGGAAUCCUUAUUUCCAGGGAAUCCAAUCCUUCUUGUGAUGGCCAGGAAAGGUGUUUGUGAGGGGAAGGCUAGUGCCUGUUAACCUCUUCAGUGCUGGGUUCUCCAGUGCUGUCACCUGCAGUGUGGGGGAGCCUAAAGACUGAGACCAGGCAGUCUGUAUCCAUCUGUACUUUGUAUGAGAGGAUUCCUUCUCAUCUGACAGGCGUGAUAGAAACACAAAAACAGAGAAGUGAGAUCUCUCACCUGUUAAACAGAAUCCAGACUGUGUGAUUUCUUAGCAAUGAAUUGAUAAACUUCUAACACGCUAGUUUUCCCAUUGGGGUUGGCUGCAUA